Molecule: ribosomal RNA, 500 nt
Filed under: uncultured bacterium
Lineage: Bacteria
Description: partial 16S ribosomal RNA
Rfam family: Bacterial small subunit ribosomal RNA
Source: RNAcentral
GACGAACGCUGACGGCGUGCUUUACACAUGCAAGUCGAACGGCAGCACGGACUUCGGUCUGGUGGCGAGUGGCGAACGGGUGAGUAAUGUAUCGGAACGUGCCCAGUCGUGGGGGAUAACGUAGUGAAAACUACGCUAAUACCGCAUACGAUCUAUGAAUGAAAGCGGGGGAUCGCAAGACCUCGCGCGAUUGGAGCGGCCGAUAUCAGAUUAGGUAGUUGGUGGGGUAAAGGCCCACCAAGCCAACGAUCUGUAGCUGGUCUGAGAGGACGACCAGCCACACUGGAACUGAGACACGGUCCAGACACCUACGGGAGGCAGCAGUGGGGAAUUUUGGACAAUGGGCGAAAGCCUGAUCCAGCCAUUCCGCGUGCAGGAUGAAGGCCCUCGGGUUGUAAACUGCUUUUGUACAGAACGAAAAGGUUUCUACUAAUACUAGGAGCUCAUGACGGUACUGUAAGAAUAAGCACCGGCUAACUACGUGCCAGCAGCCGCCGUAA